CCUCGGGCGUGCGGUGGGUACGGGCAGGCUAGAGUGUGGUAGGGGAGACUGGAACUCCUGGUGUAGCGGUGAAAUGCGCAGAUAUCAGGAAGAACACCGAUGGCGAAGGCAGGUCUCUGGGCCAUUACUGACACUGAGAAGCGAAAGCAUGGGUAGCGAACAGGACUAGAUACCCUGGUAGUCCAUGCCGUAAACGUUGGGCACUAGGUGUGGGGGACAUUCCACGUUUUCCGCGCCGUAGCUAACGCAUUAAGUGCCCCGCCUGGGGAGUACGGCCGCAAGGCUAAAACUCAAAGGAAUUGACGGGGGCCCGCACAAGUGGCGGAGCAUGCUGAUUAAUUCGAUGCAACGCGAAGAACCUUACCAAGGCUUGACAUGCACUGGACGGCUGCAGAGAUGUGGCUUUCUUUGGACUGGUGCACAGGUGGUGCAUGGUUGUCGUCAGCUCGUGUCGUGAGAUGUUGGGUUAAGUCCCGCAACGAGCGCAACCCUCGUUCUAUGUUGCCAGCACGUGAUGGUGGGGACUCAUAGGAGACUGCCGGGGUCAACUCGGAGGAAGGUGGGGACGACGUCAAAUCAUCAUGCCCCUUAUGUCUUGGGCUUCAAGCAUGCUACAAUGGUCGGUACAAUGGGUUGCGAAACUGUGAGGUGGAGCGAAUCCCAAAAAGCCGGCCUCAGUUCGGAUUGGGGUCUGCAACUCGACCCCAUGAAGUCGGAGUCGCUAGUAAUCGCAGAUCAGCAACGCUGCGGUGAAUACGUUCCCGGGCCUUGUACACACCGCCCGUCAAGUCACGAAAGUCGGUAACACCCGAAGCCAGUGGCCCAUCCUCGUGAGGGAGCUGUCGAAGGUGGGAUCGGUGAUUGGGACUAAGUCGUAACAAGGUAGCCGUACCGGAAGGUGCGGCUGGAUCACCUCCUU
RNAcentral lists this ribosomal RNA (919 nucleotides) under Brachybacterium sp. 9. Its description in RNAcentral is "bacterial SSU rRNA". It matches the Rfam family "Bacterial small subunit ribosomal RNA", at positions 613 to 1532 of the family's 1533-position model. Lineage: Bacteria; Bacillati; Actinomycetota; Actinomycetes; Micrococcales; Dermabacteraceae. The record is from RNAcentral.